CCUACGGGAGGCAGCAGUGGGGGAUAUUGCACAAUGGGGGAAACCCUGAUGCAGCGACGCCGCGUGGGCGAAGAAGUAUUUCGGUAUGUAAAGCCCUAUCAGCAGGGAAGAAGAAAUGACGGUACCUGAGUAAUAAGCACCGGCUAAAUACGUGCCAGCAGCCGCGGUAAUACGUAUGGUGCAAGCGUUAUCCGGAUUUCCUGGGUGUAAAGGGAGCGGAGGCGGCACGGCCAGCCUGAUGGGAAAGCUCGCGGCCCAACCGCGGGACUGCAUUGGGAGCUAGCGGGCUGGAGGGCCGGAGAGGUAGGCGGAAGUUCGAGUGUAGCGGUGAAAUGCGUAGAGAUUAGG
RNAcentral lists this ribosomal RNA (348 nucleotides) under uncultured bacterium. RNAcentral's name for it is "partial 16S ribosomal RNA". It matches the Rfam family "Bacterial small subunit ribosomal RNA", at positions 338 to 701 of the family's 1533-position model. The record is from RNAcentral.